Molecule: non-coding RNA, 717 nt
Organism: Phascolarctos cinereus (koala)
Lineage: Eukaryota; Metazoa; Chordata; Mammalia; Diprotodontia; Phascolarctidae
Source: RefSeq, a predicted model, not a curated record
ACCGUGAGGAUAAAGAGAUUGAGCUGAACAAGUGUGUGGGGGGGUUUCUUAGAGUUGUUUGUCUAAGGGUAUAGAACUGCUUGUCUGCUGCUUGUAGCCUGCCUCCCUACUCCAGUCCACCCUGGGUAGGUGAUUCCCAAUUCUCUCUCAAGACUUGCUAAAUUAAACUUCUGUUUCUACUGAGAGAAACCUCUGAAUUUUUAUUUGGCAUUCCAUCUUCCCAGCUUUUUGUCAAGGAAGGAACACAUCUGCACUCAGACUGAUCUACUACAGAGAAACCGUGGGCAAAGGAAGAAAAGCCCAGGGGCUGGAAAGCAUUUUGUUUGGGUUUUUCAUCUAAACCCUGAAGAUUCAUCAUGGAACUGAAUGCUAAGGCCACAUGGUUAGAGACUUAAAAACAACCGUUCAGACAGAUGGCAGAUGCUGGGAAGCUGAGAACCUGUGGAAUUGCAGAAGGGGAACUUCCAGGAUCAGUUUUGCUAUGUGUAGCCCAGGCUAGAGACUGAGCCGUGUACAUUGGCUAGCCUCCACUCCAGACAACCAAAGAACUAAGUUCCAGAAAGGGAUUGAUCAUCUCUUAACAACUGCUCAUUCAUCUUUCCCUCCUUAUGCGAGAGCUGGCUGUAUUUGACACUCAUUUCUGACUUGUUUCUUACUUUGUUUUGUUAAUCUUUUUAUAUUUUACUUUAAAAAAAAUUGUUUUAGUUUUCACAAGCA